GGUUAAGCGACUAAGCGUACACGGUGGAUGCCCUGGCAGUCAGAGGCGAUGAAGGGCGUGCUAAUCUGCGAUAAGCGCCGGUAAGGUGAUAUGAACCGUUAUAACCGGCGAUACCCGAAUGGGGAAACCCAGUGUGAUUCGUCACACUAUCAUUAACUGAAUCCAUAGGUUAAUGAGGCGAACCGGGGAACUGAAACAUCUAAGUACCCCGAGGAAAAGAAAUCAACC
Molecule: ribosomal RNA, 228 nt
Filed under: Salmonella enterica subsp. enterica serovar Agona str. SA-3
Lineage: Bacteria; Pseudomonadati; Pseudomonadota; Gammaproteobacteria; Enterobacterales; Enterobacteriaceae
Description: partial 23S ribosomal RNA
Rfam family: Bacterial large subunit ribosomal RNA
Source: RNAcentral